GGGCCCGCACAAGCAGCGGAGCAUGUGGUUUAAUUCGAAGCAACGCGAAGAACCUUACCAAGGCUUGACAUCCUCUGAACGCUAUAGAGAUAUAGUUUCCCUUCGGGGCAGAGUGACAGGUGGUGCAUGGUUGUCGUCAGCUCGUGCCGUGAGGUGUUGGGUUAAGUCCCGCAACGAGCGCAACCCCUAUGUUUAGUUGCCAGCACGUAAUGGUGGGAACUCUAAACAGACCGCCGAGGACAACUCGGAGGAAGGUGGGGACGACGUCAAAUCAUCAUGCCCCUUAUGUCUUGGGCUACACACGUGCUACAAUGGCCGGUACAAAGAGCUGCGAAACCGCAAGGUGGAGCGAAUCUCAUAAAGCCGGCCCCAGUUCGGAUCGUGGGCUGCAACCCGCCCACGUGAAGUCGGAGUUGCUAGUAAUCGCGAAUCAGCAUGUCGCGGUGAAUGCGUUCCCGGGCCUU
This 464-nucleotide ribosomal RNA is filed under the name uncultured bacterium. RNAcentral describes it as "bacterial SSU rRNA". It matches the Rfam family "Bacterial small subunit ribosomal RNA", at positions 917 to 1382 of the family's 1533-position model. The record is from RNAcentral.